This is a long non-coding RNA of Ooceraea biroi (clonal raider ant), 551 nucleotides long. RefSeq lists it as uncharacterized. The record is from RefSeq and is a predicted model, not a curated record. NCBI's taxonomy places the organism in Eukaryota, Metazoa, Arthropoda, Insecta, Hymenoptera, Formicidae.
UAUCUGUUUGUCACCUUUAUACACUUAUAUUUAUUUUUACAUUUUUACUCAUAUGUUAUUUAUAUAUUAUCUGUUUGUUAGGUGACUGGACUAGGUUUGCUACGUUGUUUGAUUACGAUAUGACUAUUAUAUUGACUCCGAUGAAGACUUUUAAUUAUUGACUUGAUAAUGUAAUUGCGGACUUUUUAAUGAAGAUAUUACACUGAAGAUGGUCCAACGUUGUGACCGAAACGUUUGUAUGAUUUGAAUUUGGAUUUAAAUAAAUAAGAAGCACUGGACACCCAGCUUUGGCUCGUUGCAGUUGAUUUACUUCGUAAUUGGAAGAUAUCGAGCCUGUUACACUUCAAGUUCUUCCAUAACAUUUUACUUAACCUGAUAGAAACAAUAAUACUCGAAAUUAUUAUUCACUUUAUAUUUUUGUUUACUGUUGGCAAGAUCAACGAAUACUGGGAUAAUAAUAGUUAUACAGUAUAUCUGGGACAUUGUGUGCGUGUGUGUGUGUGAUAAUAAUACGUGUGAUAAAUGACAAAUAAAUUUACGUUGUGUUGUAA